Molecule: ribosomal RNA, 292 nt
Filed under: uncultured bacterium
Lineage: Bacteria
Description: partial 16S ribosomal RNA
Rfam family: Bacterial small subunit ribosomal RNA
Source: RNAcentral
GUGUCAGCAGCCGCGGUAAUACAGAGGGGGCAAGCGUUGUUCGGAAUUACUGGGCGUAAAGGGCGCGUAGGCGGCCCGCUAAGUCGAACGUGAAAUCCCCAGGCUCAACCUGGGAACUGCGUCCGAUACUGGCAGGCUUGAAUCCGGGAGAGGGAUGUGGAAUUCCAGGUGUAGCGGUGAAAUGCGUAGAUAUCUGGAGGAACACCGGUGGCGAAGGCGGCAUCCUGGACCGGUAUUGACGCUGAGGCGCGAAAGCUAGGGGAGCAAACGGGAUUAGAAACCCCGGUAGUCC